Molecule: non-coding RNA, 617 nt
Organism: Taeniopygia guttata (zebra finch)
Lineage: Eukaryota; Metazoa; Chordata; Aves; Passeriformes; Estrildidae
Source: RefSeq, a predicted model, not a curated record
GCAGCGUCAGCCAAUAAAACCCAUGGGGCUGCAGUGGUGGCCGAGUGCAGGCACGUCCCGGCAUUGUUCCAAACUCUGUCCCACCCGGCCCGGAGCAGCUCCAAGGAGGGGGCAGGAAACCACAACCUCUCCAGGCAGUUCCCACCUGUCUUGCUGGGAUCAGGGACAGGACCGAGAUACUUCAUAGUGUUGGUGUGUCAGAGACUGAAAUGUUACAACUAAUGGCUUAAACAUCGUUAGGAGGGAGUUUUGACCAUUAUGGCAAAAGUGGAUAAAGAAGCUACGACCACUGAAACCCACCCCUCCCUGAGGAUGCCUCCUGAGAAGAACUUUGGGCUGUGACUUAAGCCCCCUAAGGGAACCUGAGAUAGAUCAAGAUUUUCUGAGUGUGUGGAGAGUUCUCUUCCAUCGAGAUGUCAUUAUCCAGUUACUUCCCAGCUGAGGACUGGGAUGAAGGAGACUUCUGCACCCCACUAUCACUUGUUGGUCCAACAGGAUGCUUUUGGGGUCCAUGGAUGCUGAUAUUUUUUGUCACUCUCUUUCUUUCCACCCUCUUUUUCUAUUUCUUUCUCUUUCUUUCUUUUUCUCAUUUACUGUUAAAUAAAAUCCAUACUAUU